Schistosoma rodhaini is the source of this 45-nucleotide non-coding RNA. Lineage: Eukaryota; Metazoa; Platyhelminthes; Trematoda; Strigeidida; Schistosomatidae. The record is from Rfam.
AUCCAGCUGACGAGUCCCAAAUAGGAUGAAAUUGGCAUCCUGGAU